AUCACCCUGUAAGAAGUUCAGACAAAUGUUAUGGCAUGAGAAAAAACACGAAGAGGCAAAAGGUAUGCCCUAAGCACUGGAGAUGCUGGGGGACUGGUGCCUUGGUAGCACCAUCAGUAUAAUUUGGAUGUCUGGUCUUGGAGUGGUGGUAAAGAUUUUAAGAUGGACGUUUAAGGGGCUUGUGGGAAACGUCCUUGAUUUGCCAGGCUACAUUUGUGAUACAGGUACAAGGCUGCUGGGCAAGCCCCAGAGAAGUCCAGCUCCCUUGAGACGUACUGCUUUUCCUCUGCAUGAGGGACCAGCCAAGUUAUAUAGUGGGCACUCAGGCCAACAUAUUCAACUUGGAGUACCUAAACUUAGGCUCCAGGUCACCUAUUGAAGCCCCCACAAAGCCAGCACCUCCCUCAGAGGUGGCCUGUAUUUUUUUGAAGGCUGCCCCAGUGCAUGUUAACGCCAGCCUUCAGUUGUGCCAUCCCUAUGCAGGCAGGACUGUACCUGGGCCACACCGUUCUUUUGACUCCUUCCUCCAUCAGCAUUUUGCCCAGUGCCUUCCCAUAAACAUUUUGUCUGAAUAAAUCCUACACGACUGGGCCUCAUUGCAAACAGGAGUAUGGAAAACACGAAUUAAGUCAUAAUGUCUGCAGAGAACAACACAAACUCCAAACCAUGCCUUCACCAAACAUGCAGAGAGAUAAGGAAUCAAAAUGUAUUUAAGCAACUUCUUUACGGUCCAACUGUAAUUGAUUCAAAAUACUAAACUUGCACCAUAUUUUGCUUGUGGGAAUAACAACAAAUGAACAAUCUCUCCACUUGCAGUGUUAAGGAUCUUGUGCCAGAUUGUUCCAGUUAAACAUCCACAAAUUCUUCAGGAUGAGGUUCAGGAGGUAUGCGCCAAACCUGAAAGUGCACGGUGCAGCUCACUAGCUAUAGAUCCGCUGGUGAGCACCCGCUGCCCAGCCUCUAUGGUGCAAGCCGAUUACUCGUACACAUGGAAUCCACAAUGGAGAGAUCCAUGAAAGUUUGGGUUGUAAAUCUUUUAGCAACAUCCGUACAGUGUGAACAAGAUGAGGAGACACCUGCAUUUAAGAUGGUCCAUCCACAAAUCAGUGGCAAUGACACAAAUCCCAAAACCUUUUGAUAGGACUUGUGCUCCAAUAAUCACUUGUGCACUUUGGAAGAUACUACUGCAAACUCUACCCACUGUCCCCAAUUUUGUCUCGGUUGAGAGACUGCCCACCGAAUUUUGCCUAAAGAAAAAUUAAGGGAAGGGUGUGUGUGAGGAUCCUAUGAAAAUGUUCUAUGUUAUUUUGUAAUUACUAUUGUUAUGCAAAUGGUGCAAGUUUUGCAUCUAGGACUAUGCCUUCCCCACACCAAGUCACACAAGCUCAAGGCCUUAGUUUUCACUCCUGUCUUAUUUAGGUCAAACUCCCACAAAACUCAAAUGGAGUUCUUGCUUGAGUGCAAAUUCAGGAAGCAUCCCUGGAUUUCACUCCUUAUAUUUAUGAUAUAAAAUGGCAAUCAAGGUGCUACCAGAUAGGAAAGAAAGAAGAUAGGCAGGAGGAAACACAGCACGCCAGAGGAAGCAGUUUCAAAACAUCUACCUUCAGGAUUCGUCGAGUGAAAGCAAACUGGUCGUUAGAAAGAAAUCCGUGAUUGUGGCGAGGAAAAACCAUCUAAGCCAGCACCGCAGUUUGACUCUCCUCUCUAGCGUUUAAACAACUAACUGCAACUCUGACCACAGGGGAGUUAUUUUGGAUUCACCUCACAGUAAGGAAAAAUCCAAUCCCGCUGCGGGGACGACUUCCUGGAAACCCACUGCAAAGCAUCGUCGGUGCUGUGCAGCAUGGUCUCACUGACAUGCAUAUCCACAUUUCUCCCCAAGACAUCAGUAUCAGAAAAGCAAGGCUGGAAGGGACCUCUAGUCCAACCCACCCCUCGAGGCAAGAUCGUCCCUGUCUAAACCAUCCCAGACAAAAUGAGGAAAAAAAAAUGAUCUCGGGCCCAUGGUUGGGAAUGUCUCAGAGCCACACGGUCAAUGAGGAUGCUGUCUGUAAGACCCUGCCUCGUUUAUGGCUGGAGCGGGAAGGCGGGUAAUGAGUGAAGCAAGUGAACUGCAGGAAGAAAGAGGCCAGCUGCCUGGUUAAGGCAGCCGAAUGCCACCCAGAAGCAGAGCUGGCUUCUAGCCCUGCCUCUCCCACAUGUUCCUAUGUGCGGCUGGCAACAUUUCCACAGCUGACCACUAAUUGACUGUUCCUAAUUUUUGGAGGGCAUGAUGUAACAUCUCUCAGGCUAGAUUUGCAGAGAUGGGUGCUCUGAACUACCACUAAAAUUAGCUGGCACUGUACUUUGAACCUAUCAAGCGUGAUAAAAAUAUUACAGGCUCUGGGGGUGGGGGGUGGAAAAAAUCAGAGGCAACCUGAUUUCUGGGACUGGCUUCCUUUAACCUGCUCAGCUUUAAACGUAUUUCUUGGAUGCUUAUUUUAUAUCCGAACAACAAAGCAUCCAUAUUUUAUAUACAUACCCACACAAUUUUACAGUGCUUCAAGUUUAUUUAAAUGAGUUUUGUGUUCCAACUUUUUACUUGUAAUCUGAGUUUGGCAAACGCAGAUCACACCAUUUUUUCUUGUAGAAUAGUUUAAGGGGGAACUUUUCCAACUGGAGUCUCAACUAUAGUCUGUGAUAACAUUUAUGACAGGGUCAUCAUGCAGUCUGUAGCUAGUCAGCAAAGAUGUCUAGCUUCUGAACCUACCAUAGGGAUACACCACGCAUUACUGGUAAUGUCUUUGUUUCAACUAGCGCCUGUACUGCAAAUUCACUGCCAAAUGCUGCACUGGAGACUGAAGUACUGUAUGACUGAACGGGCCUGAGACUGAAGUUGUGCAGUCCACAACUGCUUGACACCUUCAUGAUGCAGCCAGAUGCAAAGUCUAAGUCAGGCCCACCAAAGCAAUAAGUUGUCAGUCAAGUGCUUUUUAGCCAAACUGUCAUCUCCUGCCUAUUUUUGGCAAUGCUCACAUACUUUUGAGCACCUUUUCUACAUCCCAGGAUCAAAAUGCCAAGCAUACCAGACAUCUAUUUCAAAGUCUACCAACCCCAAGCAUAUUACACGUCUGCCUGUUUGUAUGGUCAGUACAAACAAGAUGAUGUACAAUAGCAUAAUUAAUACAUUUAGAAUAGAUAACACAGAUUAGUUUAAGAGCAACAAUGGGGGCUGACAGACAUGCAGGCCCCCGCUCUAACUCAUGGCGCUUUACAUUUAAAGCGCCAUGAAUUAAAGCACCCCCCCGAGCCAACAGAAGUUCACUUGUUGGGUUGGGAGGGGCGGGGGGAGAGAAAUCAUGCUCCACUUUGGAGCCGAUCGAGCACGAAGAGCCUGUUUGCAGCCUCUCUUCCCUAGCCCCAUCCCGCCUUCCCAGCUCCAGUGCUGUCUGCAGGAAGGGAGGAGGGAGAAAGGAGGAUGAGUGAGCUGUGGGCUUACCCAGCCUGAGCUGGGGAAGGUAGGGGCUGGGGGGCUCCAAUCCACCUGCUCUGCCCCCUGCCCCUCCAGCUCAGGCCGGACAAACCCCAGCAUACAGCUCACUCCCCUUCCCCUCUGUCCCUCCCUUUGUGCAGGGGACCUCAGGGGCAGGGCUGGACUGCAUCGCACCAGCUCAGCCCCAAUCACAUGACAGAUUGACCCUAGAGAAGUUCUCAGAAGUUCCCUAAAUUCCCAGAAGUGGAGCCCCUUAAUCUGAUCCCUCAUCUGAUGAGGGUUAACUUUCAUAGAUUCAUAGAUGUUAGGGUCAGAAGGGAACUCAAUAGAUCAUCGAGUCCGACCCCCUGCAUAGGCAGGAAAGAGUGCUGGGUUUAGAUGAACCCAGCUAAACCCCAGCUAACUUGUCACACGAUAGGCCACUUAACGCCCUCUGCAGCCAUGCACGCAUGUCAUGGCACAGCUGUAGAGCGUUUGCAGGGGGUCAGUCAUGUGACAAAUGUCACUUCUGUCUGCACCCAAUAUUCUUGGGAAGUCUACCUACAUAUUUAAUAGGUCGAUAAAAAAAAAUGUUCCUUUGGAAUAUCUUCCUAAACUCUCUGUACCUUCUGGGUAAUGACGACUCUUCCCUUGUGAAUGAUCUUUUUCUUGUAUGUAAUAGGGUUUCCCUCAGAGGCAGGCAAUUAUUUCGGGCAGAGGGCUACUUAAUAAGUUUUGGCAAGCUGUUGGGGGCCGCAUAGGCAGCCCUGCCCCUUGACAGUUGCCCUGCCCCCUGGUCACCACAUUGGGACCAGAAGUCCUGCCCCCUAUCCCCUGACCUUUGCCACUGGAAGUCACUCCCCUAGCUCCCCCCCAAAUACUCAUUUUGGGAGGGGGGUUGCCAUCUUAGAACCAGAAAAAAAAAAUCAUACACUAGAAGUCAGGCACCUACUGUAAUACAUUUUAAUUUUAUUACAAAAAAUAUUUGGCAUGACUUGUGACUAUGUACUGUAUAUAGAAGAGAUUGCAUAAUAACUCCAAAAUAAAGUGUCACUCUUUUAUAUU
This is a long non-coding RNA of Alligator mississippiensis (American alligator), 4516 nucleotides long. RefSeq lists it as uncharacterized. The transcript has 3 exons. The record is from RefSeq and is a predicted model, not a curated record. NCBI's taxonomy places the organism in Eukaryota, Metazoa, Chordata, Crocodylia, Alligatoridae.